Small nucleolar RNA from Sciurus vulgaris (Eurasian red squirrel), 146 nucleotides. Ensembl annotates it as small nucleolar RNA, H/ACA box 57. Its record names the gene SNORA57. The record is from Ensembl. NCBI's taxonomy places the organism in Eukaryota, Metazoa, Chordata, Mammalia, Rodentia, Sciuridae.
CCUCCUUUUCUUGGCGGGAACCGGGCGUGCGGUCCUGCUUCCUGUUAUGUACGGAGGCAGAAGGAAGGGUUCUACCCCUCGGCGUCAUGUCUUCGGUGCCGGCGGUUUCCCGUCCGCCGGUUCUAUCCUCAAGCGCCGGGACACAG